CAGUCUAGUGGUAUGAUUCCUGCUUUGGGUCUAGCUCCUAAGCUGCAGGAGGCCCCGCGUUCGAAUCGCGGUUGG
This 75-nucleotide transfer RNA is filed under the name Didymella heteroderae. RNAcentral describes it as "tRNA-Pro". Lineage: Eukaryota; Fungi; Ascomycota; Dothideomycetes; Pleosporales; Didymellaceae. The record is from RNAcentral.